AACACACACUAGGGGUGUGCAAACUGAGAUGAGGUCAUCACCUCAAACCCUUUGAACCUGAACUAGAUGAUACUAGCGUAGGGAAGUGUGAAGAUAGACUC
RNAcentral lists this non-coding RNA (101 nucleotides) under Staphylococcus hyicus. Its description in RNAcentral is "TPP sequence". It matches the Rfam family "TPP riboswitch aptamer (THI element)". From Rfam's summary of the family: Vitamin B(1) in its active form thiamin pyrophosphate (TPP) is an essential coenzyme that is synthesised by coupling of pyrimidine and thiazole moieties in bacteria. The previously detected thiamin-regulatory element, thi box was extended, resulting in a new, highly conserved RNA secondary structure, the THI element, which is widely distributed in eubacteria and also occurs in some archaea. Analysis of operon structures identified a large number of new candidate thiamin-regulated genes, mostly transporters, in various prokaryotic organisms. The record is from RNAcentral. Lineage: Bacteria; Bacillati; Bacillota; Bacilli; Caryophanales; Staphylococcaceae.